AAGAGGGCGAAGGGGUUUGGGGUCGCCGCCUUGUUUGUGCGUCGUGCGACCGGUGCUACCUCCCGGAAGGCUUUUUUCCCGUCCGGUUGUGUAUUCACCUCUCUCUUUCCCAGGGUCGGGAGCAUGUGGUCUGCUCUGAGCCACGGGUGUAACUCAGAGGACUUGAGACCUCGAGUUCUUUAGUCUCCAGCUGAGGAAGACGCAUUUCAGUUGAGACUAGUCACAUUUCCAGUGCUGAGAAGCAGGCCUUGGCCAGUGUGGCUGCAGGUGCCUGAGGAGUGCAGAGUGGCAUAAGACGCAGCGGAAGAGACAGAUAACAGUUGCCGCCAGUGUUGCUGUCUGCUGUGCCAAUGUUGCUGUCCUCAAAAUGAUGUCUGUGGAUACCUCUUCUUACUAUUUCAGUCUCUGAAUUUUUAUGUCAAAAGCCAGCUUUGCUUAAAUGUUAAUUAUUUUUUUAAGUAUGAUUUAUUCUGGAAUAAUUUUAUGUGCACAGAAAAUUUGCAAAGGCAAUAUAGCAAGUUCCUAUGUGCACUUCAUGCAUCGUCUCCUAAUGUUAACAUCUGUAGUAGAUUGAAUGGUGGCCCCCCAAAAUAUAUGCCCACAAACUAACUCCUGGAAUAUGUGAAUGUGACCUUAUUUGGAAAAAGAGUCUUUGCAGAUGUAAUUAAGUUAAGGAUCUCAAGAUGGGAUUGUUCUGGAUUAUUUGAUUGGGCUGUAAAUCUAAUGACAAGUGUCCUUAUAAAAGACACACAGAGGAGAGACAUACAGGGAGAAGUGGAGAAGGCUUGCUUAUCUAUCUAUCUAUCUAUCUAUCUAUUUAUUUAUUUAUUUUUUACUGAUGUCCCUUUUUUGUUCUAGGAUCCAGUCCAGGGCACUACAUUGCAUUAGUUGUUACAUCUCCAUAGUCUCCACUGGUUCAUGAUAGUUUCCCAGUCUUGUUUUUCAUGACCUUGAUGGUUUUGAGCAGUACUGGUAAGAUACUUUGUAGAAUAUCCCCUAUUAUGAAUUUGUCUGUAUUUUUCUCAUGAUUAGACUGGGUUAUGAGUUCUGGGGAAGAAUACCACAGAGGUGUGGUGCCCCUGUGGGGAAAGGGCUAUAUAUAUCCACAUGACUUAUCCCUGCUGUUGUUAGUCUUGAUCACUUAGAUAAAGUGGAGUUUUCCAGGUUUCUCCAUUGUAAAGUCACAUUUCCCCUAUCUAUACUAUAUUCUUUGGAAUCAAGUCUUUAAGUCCAUCCCUUCAUGGGAGAUUAAUCUACCUCCUUGUAAUAGGGAGAAGCUAAUAUGUAUUAUUUGGAAUUUUUAUGUAAGAUACAUGCCUUCCUUCCUCCUCUUUUUCAAUAAUUUAUAUAUAUCAGUAUCAAUGUAUGUGUACAUUAUAAUCCAAUUCCACUUUAUGA
Molecule: long non-coding RNA, 1398 nt
Organism: Panthera uncia (snow leopard)
Lineage: Eukaryota; Metazoa; Chordata; Mammalia; Carnivora; Felidae
Exons: 3
Source: RefSeq, a predicted model, not a curated record